RNAcentral lists this ribosomal RNA (404 nucleotides) under uncultured bacterium. Its description in RNAcentral is "bacterial SSU rRNA". It matches the Rfam family "Bacterial small subunit ribosomal RNA", at positions 29 to 479 of the family's 1533-position model. The record is from RNAcentral.
AACGAACGCUGGCGGCAUGCCUAACACAUGCAAGUCGAACGAGACCUUCGGGUCUAGUGGCGCACGGGUGCGUAACGCGUGGGAAUCUGCCCUUGGGUUCGGAAUAACAGCGAGAAAUUGCUGCUAAUACCGGAUGAUGACGUAAGUCCAAAGAUUUAUCGCCCAAGGAUGAGCCCGCGUAGGAUUAGCUAGUUGGUGAGGUAAAGGCUCACCAAGGCGACGAUCCUUAGCUGGUCUGAGAGGAUGAUCAGCCACACUGGGACUGAGACACGGCCCAGACUCCUACGGGAGGCAGCAGUGGGGAAUAUUGGACAAUGGGCGAAAGCCUGAUCCAGCAAUGCCGCGUGAGUGAUGAAGGCCUUAGGGUUGUAAAGCUCUUUACCCGGGAUGAUAAUGACAGUACC